This 240-nucleotide ribosomal RNA is filed under the name uncultured bacterium. RNAcentral's name for it is "partial 16S ribosomal RNA". It matches the Rfam family "Bacterial small subunit ribosomal RNA", at positions 94 to 334 of the family's 1533-position model. The record is from RNAcentral.
AGCGGCGGACGGGUGAGUAACGCGUGGGUAACCUGUCUCAUACAGGGGGAUAACAGUUGGAAACGGCUGCUAAUACCGCAUAAGCGCACAGUACCGCAUGGUACGGUGUGAAAAACUCCGGUGGUAUGAGAUGGACCCGCGUCUGAUUAGCUAGUUGGUGGGGUAACGGCCUACCAAGGCGACGAUCAGUAGCCGACCUGAGAGGGUGACCGGCCACAUUGGGACUGAGACACGGCCCAA